Molecule: ribosomal RNA, 254 nt
Filed under: uncultured bacterium
Lineage: Bacteria
Description: partial 16S ribosomal RNA
Rfam family: Bacterial small subunit ribosomal RNA
Source: RNAcentral
UACGUAGGGGGCAAGCGUUGUCCGGAAUCAUUGGGCGUAAAGCGCGUGUAGGCGGUUCGGUAAGUCUGCUGUGAAAAGUCCAGGGCUCAACCCUGGGAUGCCGGUGGAUACUGUCGGACUAGAGUACGGAAGAGGCGAGUGGAAUUCCCGGUGUAGCGGUGAAAUGCGCAGAUAUCGGGAGGAACACCAAUUGCGAAGGCAGCUCGCUGGGACGUUACUGACGCUGAGACGCGAAAGCGUGGGGAGCAAACAGG